Molecule: long non-coding RNA, 255 nt
Filed under: Chrysolophus pictus (golden pheasant)
Lineage: Eukaryota; Metazoa; Chordata; Aves; Galliformes; Phasianidae
Description: lncRNA (ENSCPIG00010010820.1)
Source: RNAcentral
UGCAAACCGCAAUUGCAUGGAGUUCAGAUAACGAAUUAUCAUCAAACCAAGGCAGAAUUCCUGUUGUAAAGCCUCUGCAAGAAAAGAGCACCGUGAAAGCUGGUCUGCUUGAGGCUGCUGUCCUACUUUGUCAAUACUUUCCUAGUCUUAGCGAGUGAUGUCACAGCAUCUCUGACAUUCAGACCCCAGUAAUCCACUAGGUGUGUAUCUUGCUUGGUUUUCUCUGCAUGCUUUGUGAUAUGGCAUGGGUGAUAA